CUCACCCGCUGGCGGCGCCCACGGAUAUAGACAUUCAGUGAGAUCUCGGGAUCGGGGGCGGUUGCUCCUUUGCCUCAAACGUGCGCUCCCCCUUUUUCGCCUCGGCCAGCAAGUCCGCGCGGCCUACACACGUACAUGGUCACACAGAUAGGCAUGCGUUAGUCAGCAAACUAGCAAGUAGUUCCAUGAGCACCCGGACCGUGUGCCCGCACUGCGGCCAGGGGAUGCGUUUUGAGGCGAUGAAGGCGCACCUCGAUUGUUGUGGGGAGCCCGCACCCCUCACCACGCCUCAGCAAAGCUCCCCGGCGAAGUGCCCGGUGCCAACAGCAGCUGAGAAGCCGGCAUCUGGGCUGGACUAUUACCAUCGGCUGAAUAACUUGAGCUGUCUCAGUCGCCAGAGCCGCAGCACUAGCGACGGCGGUAGAAAUUGCUCCAGCGCCUCCCCAGUGGGGGAGGAUGCUGCCAUGACGCAGCAGCUCAUGUACUCUUCAUCCUCUCUCGCGGUCGACGUUGUGACAUCCGACUUCCGUGCAUCUGUGCCUUCGCGGGAGCACGCCGCCGCCAAGCCGCAAAGGCGCCCUUCUCCGUCCUCAGUGGCCAACUCGAACGUUUCUGGGGGCGCGACUUCACUGCCGACUACGCCGCUGCCGCUGCCACCGUCGAUUCAAGUCAACUUACGAAGCAGCAGCCGGGAAACCGGUGUGCCGUCGAGGGUCGUAGGUGUAGGGUUGCAUUCAGCGCCCGGCGUGCGGUCUUACCGGCGGCCCCAAUCAACAGAACCGCUUACUGCUUCCUCCGCUGCAGUUGCUAGGGCCACGUCCAGCAAGCCGCGCAGCACGACAGAGCACAUUGCCAGCGCCGCUGCGAGCAGCCACCGUGGAGCGGCGCACAGUCGAUUGUGUGGUACUGCAAGGGAGACGGAAUCGCUUCAUCGCCAUUCCGCUAACUCUGUCCGUGCAGCUCCACUCGGUGCGCACACAGACACGCUGGAUGGUGCGUCCGCUGCAGCGGAUGACUCGGCACUGCCGAGCACGAUUGCUGAGCUCAGCAGCGCGCACUCUGCUGCACCCACUGCGAUGAGCACAAGACGCGCUUACGAGACCCCCAUAGCCGUGUCGUCGGCAGCCUCGGCUGUUUCGUCUGUAACUUCGUCGAAGCGCCCAACGCCGCAGCUGAGCAGCUUCGCGAUUCGCCUGCGCGGGAGCAAAGGAUCCUCUUGUCCAGCUCAGAAGACUGCUGAGAGCGACUCGUGCGUACCGUCGAUGAGACUACACGACAGCGACGCUGUUGGCGACACUCAGCAGGCAACCGGUAACAUCUAUGCGGCAUCGUCGCUAAGAUCAGCAUCGACGGCCAUGACGCAAUUGAAAACGUCGCUGUCGCAAAUGCAGCGCCUCGUGCGACUGCAACAGGGGCAGCUCUCGGCCCUUCUACGAGCCCACGGGGACUUGCAGCGGCAGGUCACCGUUCAACACGGCGCCUACAACGAAAUGGUCCAGCGCUCGAUGAGCCAACGGGCGGAAAUGGAGGCUGCGCUUCAGAAGCACACCGCUCAGUGGCGGCGACAGCAGGCGGCGAUGCAGGAGAGUGUCGCCGCUCUCUGGGAUAUCGUGUCCGAUAUACAUCAGCACCUGCACAACAACGGCCGAUUGCCGGCUAAGAUCCUAGCGGCAUCACGGCAGACUGAGGAGAGCGCCUACUACUCUGAUAUUGCCUCCUUUGUUCAGGCGGAUGUCGCGGCGCCUUCGUUGGUGCCCGCAUCGUUGCUUGCGCGCAAGGACGAUCCGCUACUUCCUGCGCAAGCGUCUGUCUCAGCGUUUGCGAACGGGUUCACGCGCCCGUCUGCGCCUUCGUCCGCCUGCGCCUUGGGCUUUGCCUCUGCGGCAGCAGGGCCUUCAGCGACAGCUGCUCGCGGUCCUUCCUAUACGAUGGAUAUGCAGCAGCAGCAGCAACAGCAGCAACGUGAGUCCAUGGAGGACCGAGUGGUUGCAAUGCUGCGCAAGAAACCCACUGUGGUCGUGCGCCACUUGGCAUGGAGGCAGCAGUGACGGGGGCGGGGCAUACCUCGCCUUGCCGCCAGGAUGCCGCGCUUUCGCACGCACGGGCUGCCCCUCCAGCAGCGCUGGGCUGGGCGCUUCGACAUACGAUGUGGAGACGUACUUAUCCGCAACAAACG
RNAcentral lists this unclassified non-coding RNA (2176 nucleotides) under Leishmania donovani. Its description in RNAcentral is "gene:LdHU3.36.8480(CDS-product:hypothetical_prote in_conserved)". Lineage: Eukaryota; Euglenozoa; Kinetoplastea; Trypanosomatida; Trypanosomatidae. The record is from RNAcentral.